UAGGGACAAAAUAAAUUGAUUUUUUCAACAAUUUUUUUUUUAAUUGGAAGUUGGAAGAGAGUUUUGGAAAAUGUUUUCCUUAAAUUUUGAAGGGAAGUCAUUUUCCUUAAAUUUGAGGAAAAUGAGUUGAUUUGGAAAAUAUUUUCCAAAACAUUUAACCCAACCAAACAUGAGAAAAUUGGAAAACAUUUUCCGGAAAAUGUUUUCCUUCAUACCAAAC
This 220-nucleotide long non-coding RNA is filed under the name Solanum tuberosum (potato). RNAcentral describes it as "long non-coding RNA (STUB_LNC008980)". Lineage: Eukaryota; Viridiplantae; Streptophyta; Magnoliopsida; Solanales; Solanaceae. The record is from RNAcentral.